This 325-nucleotide unclassified non-coding RNA is filed under the name fungal sp. RNAcentral's name for it is "partial internal transcribed spacer region". The stretch from base 1 to 46 matches the Rfam family "Eukaryotic small subunit ribosomal RNA", at positions 1786 to 1831 of the family's 1831-position model. The record is from RNAcentral. Lineage: Eukaryota; Fungi.
AAGUCGUAACAAGGUUUCCGUAGGUGAACCUGCGGAAGGAUCAUUUGUGAAAAUUUUAAAGUUGUUUUCUUUUUUGAAGAGGGGGUAAAAUCCUUUUUUUGAGAGGAACCAAUUUAAAAAAAAAGAGAUUUCUUGUGGUUUAUAAAUGAUUUUUUUAAAAAAAUUGUUUGUUGUUGGAAUCUUUCUAAUGACAAACAAUUAAUAUUUUUAAAAAUCAAUUUUUUAUAAAAAAAACUAUUUUAAACAUGUAUUUAAAAAAUUAACAGUUUUAAAAAAAUAAAUUAAAAAUAAAUUAAAACUGUCAACGGUGGACCUCUUGGCUCGU